This 492-nucleotide ribosomal RNA is filed under the name uncultured bacterium. Its description in RNAcentral is "partial 16S ribosomal RNA". It matches the Rfam family "Bacterial small subunit ribosomal RNA", at positions 29 to 507 of the family's 1533-position model. The record is from RNAcentral.
AGUGAACGCUGGCGGUAGGCCUAACACAUGCAAGUCGAACGGCAGCACAGUAAGAGCUUGCUCUUACGGGUGGCGAGUGGCGGACGGGUGAGGAAUACAUCGGAAUCUACUUUUUCGGGGGGGAUAACGUAGGGAAACUUACGCUAAUACCGCAUACGACCUACGGGUGAAAGCAGGGGAUCUUCGGACCUUGCGCGAUUGAACGAGCCGAUGUCGGAUUUGCUAGUUGGCGGGGUAAAGGCCCAGCAAGGCGACGAUCCGUGGCUGGUGUGGGAGGAUGAUAGGCCACACUGGAACUGAGCCACGGUCCAGACUCCUACGGGAGGCAGCAGUGGGGAAUAUUGGACAAUGGGGGCAAGCAUGAUACAGUCAGACCGAGUGGGUGGAGAAGGCCUUCGGGUUGUAAAGACCUUUUGUUGGGAAAGAACCGCAGCAGGUUAAUACCCCGCUGUUCUGACGGUACCCAAAGAAUAAGCACCGGCUAACUUCGUG